This 76-nucleotide transfer RNA is filed under the name Gemmatimonadota bacterium. RNAcentral's name for it is "Gemmatimonadetes bacterium (marine metagenome) tRNA-Ala". It matches the Rfam family "tRNA". From Rfam's summary of the family: Transfer RNA (tRNA) molecules are approximately 80 nucleotides in length. Their secondary structure includes four short double-helical elements and three loops (D, anti-codon, and T loops). Further hydrogen bonds mediate the characteristic L-shaped molecular structure. tRNAs have two regions of fundamental functional importance: the anti-codon, which is responsible for specific mRNA codon recognition, and the 3' end, to which the tRNAs corresponding amino acid is attached (by aminoacyl-tRNA synthetases). tRNAs cope with the degeneracy of the genetic code in two manners: having more than one tRNA (with a specific anti-codon) for a particular amino acid; and 'wobble' base-pairing, i.e. permitting non-standard base-pairing at the 3rd anti-codon position. Lineage: Bacteria; Pseudomonadati; Gemmatimonadota. The record is from RNAcentral.
GGGGCCGUAGCUCAGUUGGGAGAGCGCAGCGUUCGCAACGCUGAGGUCAGGGGUUCAAUUCCCCUCGGCUCCACUA